RNAcentral lists this transfer RNA (68 nucleotides) under Pimpla luctuosa. RNAcentral describes it as "tRNA-Tyr". The record is from RNAcentral. Lineage: Eukaryota; Metazoa; Arthropoda; Insecta; Hymenoptera; Ichneumonidae.
AGUAAUGUGUCUGAUUAAAGUAAUAAAUUGUAAAUUUAUUUAAAAGAUUAAAUUAGUCUUCUUUACUA